GAACUUCUGCAAAUUGCACAAAUGUGGUCAGUGCUCUCAAAGUGCUGCUAUCAGGAGAAAUGGAAAUGAGAGUCAAUGAAAGGAAAAUUGUCAGGCUUCCGUGCUGGCAGACCCAAAAGCAGGAGGAUGUGGUAAAACUCUGGAGACAUCUGCACGAGGUCAUCACAAACAAAGGGUUAUGUCGUGGCUAUUCAUUCAACAGUAGAACUCAGGGCGAUGUUUAAUACAUGCAGGCCGGCAGCGGACCCUUGAGCAGGUGAUCCACAGCGGACUGGACAGCGGAUAAUGUCAAGUCAUUCGACUUGCUGGUGGACCUUGAUGUGAGCAUAGAGGAGUUCAGAGUUCAAGCUUUCAUUAAACGUGCCUAUAAAACACAUUAUGUGUGCUCUUAGGGGCUAACGUAUUAAAUGUAUUUCCUGUGUCAUACAACAUUUGCAAUUUGUUUCUGUAUUUAAAUAAGUUUUUCAAGCAGAGGUUUAUAAAAAACAUUGCACUUGUGUCUUUCUUUCUUUCUUUCUUUCUUUCUUUCUUUCUUUCUUUCUUUCUUUCUUUCUUUCUUUCUUUCUUU
Molecule: long non-coding RNA, 568 nt
Organism: Acanthopagrus latus (yellowfin seabream)
Lineage: Eukaryota; Metazoa; Chordata; Actinopteri; Spariformes; Sparidae
Exons: 3
Source: RefSeq, a predicted model, not a curated record